This 497-nucleotide ribosomal RNA is filed under the name uncultured bacterium. RNAcentral's name for it is "bacterial SSU rRNA". It matches the Rfam family "Bacterial small subunit ribosomal RNA", at positions 31 to 507 of the family's 1533-position model. The record is from RNAcentral.
AUAGAACGCUGGCGGCGUGCCUAAUACAUGCAAGUCGAGCGAACAGACGAGGAGCUUGCUCCUCUGACGUUAGCGGCGGACGGGUGAGUAACACGUGGAUAACCUACCUAUAAGACUGGGAUAACUUCGGGAAACCGGAGCUAAUACCGGAUAACAUGUUGAACCGCAUGGUUCAACAGUGAAAGACGGUCUUGCUGUCACUUAUAGAUGGAUCCGCGCCGCAUUAGCUAGUUGGUAAGGUAACGGCUUACCAAGGCAACGAUGCGUAGCCGACCUGAGAGGGUGAUCGGCCACACUGGAACUGAGACACGGUCCAGUCUCCUACGGGAGGCAGCAGUAGGGAAUCUUCCGCAAUGGGCGAAAGCCUGACGGAGCAACGCCGCGUGAGUGAAGAAGGUCUUCGGAUCGUAAAACUCUGUUAUUAGGGAAGAACAAAUGUGUAAGUAACUAUGCACGUCUUGACGGUACCUAAUCAGAAAGCCACGGCUAACUACGUG